Molecule: ribosomal RNA, 397 nt
Filed under: uncultured bacterium
Lineage: Bacteria
Description: partial 16S ribosomal RNA
Rfam family: Bacterial small subunit ribosomal RNA
Source: RNAcentral
AUACGUAGGUGGCAAGCGUUGUCCGGAUUUAUUGGGCGUAAAGCGAGCGCAGGCGGUUUCUUAAGUCUGAUGUGAAAGCCCCCGGCUUAACCGGGGAGGGUCAUUGGAAACUGGGAGACUUGAGUGCAGAAGAGGAGAGCGGAAUUCCAUGUGUAGCGGUGAAAUGCGUAGAUAUAUGGAGGAACACCAGUGGCGAAGGCGACUCUCUGGUCUGUAACUGACGCUGAGGCUCGAAAGCGUGGGGAGCAAACAGGAUUAGAUACCCUGGUAGCCCACGCCGUAAACGAUGAGUGCUAAGUGUUGGAGGGUUUCCGCCCUUCAGUGCUGCAGCUAACGCAUUAAGCACUCCGCCUGGGGAGUACGGCCGCAAGGCUGAAACUCAAAUGAAUUGACGGGG